RNAcentral lists this ribosomal RNA (492 nucleotides) under uncultured bacterium. RNAcentral describes it as "partial 16S ribosomal RNA". It matches the Rfam family "Bacterial small subunit ribosomal RNA", at positions 29 to 507 of the family's 1533-position model. The record is from RNAcentral.
AGUGAACGCUGGCGGUAGGCCUAACACAUGCAAGUCGAACGGAAGCGCAGUAAGCGCUUGCUCUUACGGGUGGCGAGUGGCGGACGGGUGAGGAAUACAUCGGAAUCUACUUUUUCGUGGGGGAUAACGUAGGGAAACUUACGCUAAUACCGCAUACUACCUACGGGUGAAAGCAGGAGAUCUUCGCACCUUUCCCAAUUGAAUUAGCUGAUGUCGGAUUAGCUAGUUGGCGGGGUAAAGGCCCACCAAGGCGACGAUCCGUAGCUGGUCUGAGAGGAUGAUCGGCCACACUGGAACUGAGACACGGUCCAGACUCCUACGGGAGGCAGCAGUAGGGAAUAUUGGACAAUGGGCGAAAGCCUGAUCCAGCCAUACCGCGUGAGUGAAGAAGGCCUUCGGGUUGUAAAGCUCUUUUGUUGGGAAAGAAAAGCAGUAGGUGAAUACCUCGAUGUUCUGACGGUACCCAAAGAAUAAGCACCGGCUAACUUCGUG